Molecule: unclassified non-coding RNA, 1108 nt
Filed under: Homo sapiens (human)
Lineage: Eukaryota; Metazoa; Chordata; Mammalia; Primates; Hominidae
Description: glucosaminyl (N-acetyl) transferase 2 (I blood group) (ENSG00000285222.3)
Source: RNAcentral
GUUAAACUGCGUUUACCUUAAACAGGCUUACUGUGUUCACUGCUGGACGCCUCUGGGCAAUCUUACCCUCCUGGGAACUGAGAGAGACAAUGCUAGGAGCCAGAAACAUGAGGAAUACAUGAGCUCGGCGCCAAUGGAACAUGCUUUCACACCGGGUGCAGCUAACCACCACAUCAUACAAAACUCGUCGCUGACGUUUUAGAUGUAUAAUCUGAUUGGCAUGGACUCACAGAGGAGGGAGUAAGGGAAGAGUAAGAAGAUUUCAAAGGAGAGACACAGGUUGCAGGUUAGCAGGAGAACAGGCAAGCCAAAUGCAAAGGAGCCACUUCAGAAAUGUGUCACAGAAAAGUGAAAAUGCAACCUAGUGGUAAGUGAAGAGGGGAAGAAGAAAGAAAAAGGACCAGAACCGUGAACUGAAGGGACAGGGAACAGCCAGACGAGAGCUUCAGCCAUCACGAGGAUGAUUUCGGAACCUGGAGAAAAUGUGUUCCUGGCUCUAUGCCAAAUGCAUCCUGGACUGGAAACCUCAGAGCUAUAAAGUGGAGUGACAUGGAAGACAGACACGGAGGCUGCCACGGCCACUAUGUACAUGGUAUUUGUAUCUAUGGAAACGGAGACUUAAAGUGGCUGGUUAAUUCACCAAGCCUGUUUGCUAACAAGUUUGAGCUUAAUACCUACCCCCUUACUGUGGAAUGCCUAGAACUGAGGCAUCGCGAAAGAACCCUCAAUCAGAGUGAAACUGCGAUACAACCCAGCUGGUAUUUUUGAGCUAUUCAUGAGCUACUCAUGACUGAAGGGAAACUGCAGCUGGGAAGAGGAGCCUGUUUUUGUGAGAGACUUUUGCCUUCGUAAUGUUAACCGUUUCAGGACCACGUUUAUAGCUUCAGGACCUGGCUACGUAAUUAUACUUAAAAUAUCCACUGGACACUGUGAAAUACACUAACAGGAUGGCUGGGUAGAGCAAUCUGGGCACUUUGGCCAAUUUUAGUCUUGCUGUUUCUUGAUGCUCACCUCUAUAUUAGUUUAUUGUUAGGAUCAAUGAUAAAUUUAAAUGACCUCAGAUCUUUGCACCAGAUACUCAUCAUAUACAAAUGUUUUAGUAAAAAAG